GAAAACUUAUGUUAUAUCGCCUCUUUCUUCAUUCUUCAUUUUCUUUUUCAGCUUCUUCUCCAAAAUACCAUGAAGAAAUCAAUCCUUUCUUCUUCUCACUGAAACCCUUGAGUUUUUCUGUUUCAGAAAUCCAGGGGAAAUCCAGGCUUCCUUCUUCUCCUUCCGUCAAUUAGAACAAAAACCCUAAAAUUCUUUGUUUCAAUCCGUGGAGCGAAAAUCCUUUUUCUCUUUAGAUCGAAGCUUUUUGAAGGUGCACGUUGUUUCUGUCAGUCCAUGGCUUAUAUAAGUGAAAAGAGACAGGGGAUAUGCUAGUUAGUUAGGGGUGGUAUAUAUAAUUCUCAUACGUGAGCUCAAAGGUGCAGAUCAAGAGUAAAAGAAAAUUGUUCCUCUUCUUCCUCAUUAGCAUCUCUUUUUCCUAGCCCUAAUUGCUUCCAGCACAAAUGGAUAAGAGUUGGACACAAAAAUGUAGGGGCCAUCGUGACUGCAUUCGUGGUUGCGAUGAGUUUUUGACAUUUGCUUGGGCUCAUCGUACUCGUGUAUCUCCUGCAACAAUGGUAUCCCAAGGUCUAGAAAAUUGGUGAGAGAGCACAUAUUGCAGAAGGGAAUAAAACGAACUUACACAUGUUGGAAGAAACAUGGUGAGGCAGAAGUAAAUGUUAUUCAUGGUGAAGCGUAGCUGAAAUGACCAAGAAAAACAGUGGGGUUCCGCCAACUGAAGGUGACGUCUUCAUCGAAUACCAUACACGUAAGAAGUCCAGAAAGGCUAUGGACCCAGUUUCCGAGGGCUUUAUAGUACAGAUGAGAGAAUGAGCUGCCUUAAAUGAGAAUGGCUUCGAUGAGAACGGUGUGAAACAAUCUAUCCCUGAUGAUAUCUAUAAGGAAGUAGUACCCGCAGCUACAAGACAUCGUAAACGUGCAAGAGCUGUAGAAAAUGAGUGCGCUAGUUCUGGCUGUUCUUCUAGAAUAGGAGAGUUGGAGCAACAAGUGGUUGACUUGAAGGACAUAAUAUCUGAAAAAGACAAAGAGACAGAGAGAAUUAUUGGAGAAAUGACCUUGGAAAAUGAUAGAAGAUUUAAGGCGUUUGAGAAGAGAAUGAUGGAUAAUGUGGUCUCUCUCAUGUUCAGACCAGAACAGUUUUUCAGACCUCAAGAGCAAGUAUUCAUGCCUCAACAUCCACUCUUGCAUUAGUUAGAGCUUGUCCUCUAUCAUCUUUGAAGUAGUUUAUAUGCAGCCAGCUCAGGUAUUGCUUACUUUCCUCAAUGUUCGUUUUGAUGUUACCAUAGACCUCCUUGUUCCAAACUCUUAUAUGCAGCUUUAUGUCUUUUAACUUUCUAGCAAUGAUGAAAGCACUAGAGCCAUUGAUAGUCUUACUCCAGCAUUCUACUAUAGUUUUCCUGCAAUCCUCAUGAUCCAACCAAGGACCAAAGAACUUGAAGGUAAUUUUGCCAUUUUCCCAGUUUGGAUUGGAAUUUAACAAUAUAGGAUGGUGGUUAGAGCCAAUAGCAAGCAUAUUAGUGAUAGUGGUAUUUGGGUAGAUGUUUAGCCGCUCAUCAGUUGCUAAACCUCUAUCCUAUCUUUGCUCAGUUAAGGCAUGACCUUUUCUCUUAUUGGACCAAGUGAAGGGGCAGCCAGUAAAGCUAAUAUCAAUCAAAUCAAGCUCAAGAAUCUUCUCUUUGUAGAUAUUUGCUUCAUUUAUGUCCAUAUGAUGAGUACUGAACUUUUUCAGAAUCAUGCAAUAUAAAGUUGAAAUCUCCUAAAAUCAACCAAGGAAGAUUGUAAGAAGCAGCAGUAUUAGAGUGCAUGUUCCAGGAUAAAAGCUUAGAUGGAGUGUCAUAAAGAUUCCCAUAAUACCCUGUGAAUAGCCAAGGGGGGGUGUUGCCAUUUCUGAUAAUAGCAUUGAUAUGAUUUAUGGAAUAAUUCUUGAUUUCCGAGUUUAUGCAGUUUUUCCAUAUCAAGGCUAAUCCACCAGCAGUGCCACUAGCCCCUCCAGGGUUCACAUACCAAAAAUUGGCGACACCUAGAUCAUGCAUGGAUUUUUCAAAUUUUCCAGAAUUUUGUUUGGUUUCAGAAAGAAAGACAAUAUCAGGAUUUAAUUUGUUAAGCAUGUCAUUAAGGUACUUCUUAGCAUCUCUAGUUCCUAAUCCUUUGUAGUUCCAAGCUAAAGAAGUGAAGAAUUGCCAGAAAUAAGAGACAUUAGGGUACUUAGAGAUGAGUCUGAAUAAAGGAUAGAAGUGGUUACCAUGGUGCCUGAUGAUGAGCUUUGCACACUUCCACUAGCCAUGUUGGGAUGAGGUUCUCCACCCUGCUCCUGAGAAUGUUCAGAAAAAUCCUUGAAUUUCUUUUGGUUUGUCAGGUUCAUAUUGUUGGUUAAGAGGUAUUCUUCAUUAUAGAGGGAUUGCUUCCUCUUGUACUCUGAUUGAGGGUUAGAGGGAUUGGGCUGAGAGUUUGUGUCAAGGUUUUCAAACAGAUGGUCUUUUUUCUUUGCUUUCCAAGCCUCCUUUUUCUUCUUGGUAGCCUCAGCUUCCAUAUUUUCUUUGAUCUGAGCUAAAGUUGACAUGGUAUUGAAGGGAAAUGACUUCUGAGAGUUGUUAUGAGUGACUGGAAAGAUUUGUUCAGCAGCAGCAAUCCCAGCUACAAUGGUUUCUUCAUCAUCAAUUCUGGUUUCAGAGGACUUGUUUGAUUGAGUUCUUGCAGCAGCUUUCCAUUUUGGCAGUUUUUUUCUUGUAAGAGCCAAUUAUCUUUUUGGAUAGCUCCAGUCUUCUGUUUGUAAUUUAACAAGCUAACACACCAGGGUGAGGGGAGUUUGGGCAAUCGGUUUGAGAAUUCUGAGCUCCAAAGAUGAUAGGAUUGUCUGAGGUUAAUGCAAUGUUUGCAAUUGUCUUCUCAAGUUCCUUUCUUUUUGCAGCUUUGAGCUUGCUUCAAACUCAGCAGCUGCAUUUGCAUGAGAGUAAUGUCUAUGAAUAACAUCUUUGCCAGCUUGCACAAUUUUCUGUUAAGGGGUUAUUGGAGAUGGAGCUGGUUGUGGAGUUUGUAGGUGAUAAUAAUUAGGAUUGUUUUGAUUUGGGAGUGUAGGACAAGGGGGCUUGGGUGGUCAAGGAUUCUGCAAACGUUACAGAAUUUGAUACCAUUGAGAGCAUAGGCACACUCUAACCAGUGAGAAAGAGUUGGUGUUUCAAAAGCUUCUAUUCCAAACUUGAGAGAUCUGGUUACAUUGAUUUAACUUUUACUUCCAUAUUCUUUUCAAACUUAUCCCUCCCAUAAGGCUUCUUUGAAGUUUGGUAGACACUAAGAGGCUUGACAAGGUUCUUAAUGUCAGGAAUGAUGUGGGUGGUAAUUCUUUUGACUAGAAGCCAGAUCAUAACCUUUGAAAAGAGCUCUUCAUCAAUUAGUUCAGGACCUUUUUCAGGUACUCCUACCAGAACCAUGAGCUUAUCAAACACUCCUAUUGUUCCUCAAUUCCUUAGAUUUACAUAAUCUUCUUCAUGAGUAGUUCUGAGAAUGUAGAAAUUUCUUCUUCUGUUCCAAACUUCAACUUCAAUUCUGCUGAUCAUUUCCCAGUAGGAAUUGAUGAAAUUGCUCACUUUUGAAGUUUGGAAACAUAAAUUGCUGCACAGUUUUACGAUGAAACAACCUUUCAAUCUUGAGGUUGUUUUGUUCUGAUAUUUUCAGAGUUUAUGAACACUUUUGGGAACAGGUCUUCAGGCAUGGUAAGUGCAGUGUUCAUUUGUUUGACAAGGUUUUCAAUGGAGUGUGGGUUUGAGUUUGAGGAUGAAGCCAUAAGUUUGUAGAAUUGAAGCAGAGUGCUAAUGGCUAUAUUAAGAUAAAAGUCCUUUUUAGUUGGAUAAGUAGCAGUGUGUGAGACAAUUUUGAUGUUGAUAUGGCUCAUUUUAAUUUGAAUAGUUAUCACUGGUUCCUUUGGUUCAGUAUGAUGUGUUGAAUCGAUUCUUGUCAUGUAGCAGUUUGUUCUGGCGCUACAUGUGAGCAUAUUGGAUUCAUUUGUCGAGAUACUGUUCAAAUGGUUGUCUUCGAUGGCUAAUGGCAGAGCGGAUAGAGACAUGUCUUCAAAAAGACAAGGACAAACUCUAAAGAUAAUAGUACUACAUAGAGGUUUUUGGUAGGAAAACAUUACCUUGUCCCAACAGAUGUUGAUCGCUGAGAUAUCAAUAGAAGGCCAAGAGAGGAUUACUUUACCUUUACAUCUUGUGUUAUUAGCUUGCUGAUAAGUUCUUUUAUUGGGCUUAGCUAGCACAACUAAAGAGGUUAUGGCCCAACGAAAUUUAUGAGAGGCAACUGUAACUUGGUUUUUCUUUAUCCGAAUAUGGAUGCGGGUUUGUGGAUCGGAUUUUCUUUCUUUGCAGAUCCCUCUCCAGCCUGUAGGAGUGCAUAUUUGCCAACUGCUGAGGAGUACCAGUAAUGUGGCUAUUAGUUCAAGUCAACCUGUCACAACCAGCAACAUAAAAGUGGUUAGGUUAAGUAAGCGUGCAAAAAACAGUUUGCUGCAAUAUAAGUUAGUAUAGCCUAUUUUGAAACGUCAGAGAUAGAGAGGGUGUAUUUGAGAGGGAAGUAAAGACGAUUUUGGGAACCGUCGCCAUUUGUGGGCGACACGUUCGAAGUGGCUGGGAGAUUGAACUUUAUAAUAACCUGAACGCUUGCUGGGGGAAACCAUUUGUUUUCCUUAUUAACAUUUCCUUUGAGACUGCCCUUUUUCCUGUGAGAUCUAUCAUGGCUGGAAACCAGAGUGACAUUGAUCCAAAAGGCAAGCGCAAGUUGAUUGAGGCGGAGGAAGAGCCACGAAUUCACUGAUAUCCCUAUGAGCAUUUGGUGAGUCGGUUGCCAUAUGGUGUAGCUUUUCCACAAAGGUGUGAGUCUCCUGAUUUUCAAGCGAAUUUUGAUUGGUAUUUGAGGGAUAUGCAGCAUAACAUUGGAGUGAAGAUUGAAGAAGAAUUCUUGCAACAAGAUGGUCCCCCCUGGAGUUUUGCAUGAAUUGUUGCUUGAUUCCCCUUUUGAAAGAUUGGUGCAGUUCUUCAAGCAGAAUAAAGCUCCUCCUGUUCAACAAGAUGUUGGUAAUCCUUUCCUUAAACCUGGGAUUCGGAUAGAGGAUGGUGGGUGUCGCAUGCCUGGUGCCACUCAUUCUAUGGGAGAUGAUAUGUCUGCUCCUACUGUUUCUGAUCAAUCCUUUCCUUCUUUGAAGCCCAAACGAAAUGGUUAUGACGACGAUGAUUGGGUAUUAUAUGCCUAUCAUCCCAAGUUUGGUCCAUUCGAGGUGCAUGAGGCAGUUGCCAUUGUUGCAGACCGAUUCCUGGUGUCUGGUUUGAGCAGAUUUGGUUUUCAAUCUAUUACUCUCCAACCUGAAGCACGGUACAUGGUGCGACAAUUGGCUGCACGACCAUGGCGAAGAGAUGAGCCAAUGCGAUUUCCAGUGUUGGAUGCUUUGUGUCCGGCAACUGGUAAUAUUGGUCGAGAGAUAUUUGCUCAAGCAGCCUCCAAUCCAGCCACCGAUCCAUCCAUUGUUCCAGCCACUGAUCCAAACCCAGCCAGUUCCACCAAUGCAUACUUAAGAUGAUGUUCCGGUACCGUCUGAGGCAGGACAGAGAAGAUCAGGUUACCCCUCCUCCUCGAAGGCAAGAUCCAAAUUUCACCCGGCGUUUGACUAGAAGCCUGAGCCGAACCGUUAUCCAGGAGACUCAGAGCGGAACUCAGCAGUAGAAGUAGCAGGUAAGUGACAGUUUGAAUUUCUAUCUCUCCAUUAGUAAUUGGAGGAGGGGAUAUGAAUGUUGAAGUUCGAAUUUCUAUCUCUCCAUUAGUUAUUAAAAUCUUGAUCAGAACAGGUUUAAUUUUUUGAUUUUUUUUGGUUUUGAAGUUUGAAUCUGUAAGUAAUUUGGAUAAUUUGGGAACUUCUAGUAAUAUGAUGGUAGUAUGUUUUUAAUAUGGUAAUUGGAUUUUUGAU
Molecule: long non-coding RNA, 5947 nt
Organism: Papaver somniferum (opium poppy)
Lineage: Eukaryota; Viridiplantae; Streptophyta; Magnoliopsida; Ranunculales; Papaveraceae
Exons: 6
Source: RefSeq, a predicted model, not a curated record